Molecule: ribosomal RNA, 468 nt
Filed under: uncultured bacterium
Lineage: Bacteria
Description: partial 16S ribosomal RNA
Rfam family: Bacterial small subunit ribosomal RNA
Source: RNAcentral
GACGAACGCUGGCGGCGUGCUUAACACAUGCAAGUCGAACGGAAAGGCCCUGCUUUUGUGGGGUGCUCGAGUGGCGAACGGGUGAGUAACACGUGAGUAACCUGCCCUUGACUUUGGGAUAACUUCAGGAAACUGGGGCUAAUACCGGAUAGGAGCUCCUGCUGCAUGGUGGGGGUUGGAAAGUUUCGGCGGUUGGGGAUGGACUCGCGGCUUAUCAGCUUGUUGGUGGGGUAGUGGCUUACCAAGGCUUUGACGGGUAGCCGGCCUGAGAGGGUGACCGGGCAAAAUGGGACUGAGGUUCGGCCCAGGCCUCUACGGGGGGGAAGAGUGGGGAAUAUUGCACAAUGGGCGGAAGGCUGGUGCAGCAACGCCGCGUGGGGGAUGACGGCCUUCGGGUUGUAAACCGCUUUCGCCUGUGACGAAGCGUGAGUGACGGUAAUGGGUAAAGAAGCACCGGCUAACUACGUG